UACGUAGGCAGCGAGCGUUGUUCGGAAUUACUGGGCGUAAAGGGCGCGUAGGCGGCCUGCUAAGUCGAACGUGAAAUCCCCGGGCUCAACCCGGGAACUGCGUCCGAUACUGGUAGGCUUGAAUUCGGGAGAGGGAUGCGGAAUUCCAGGUGUAGCGGUGAAAUGCGUAGAUAUCUGGAGGAACACCGGUGGCGAAGGCGGCAUCCUGGACCGACAUUGACGCUGAGGCGCGAAAGCCAGGGGAGCAAACGGG
RNAcentral lists this ribosomal RNA (253 nucleotides) under uncultured bacterium. RNAcentral's name for it is "partial 16S ribosomal RNA". It matches the Rfam family "Bacterial small subunit ribosomal RNA", at positions 524 to 776 of the family's 1533-position model. The record is from RNAcentral.